RNAcentral lists this ribosomal RNA (253 nucleotides) under uncultured bacterium. RNAcentral describes it as "partial 16S ribosomal RNA". It matches the Rfam family "Bacterial small subunit ribosomal RNA", at positions 524 to 776 of the family's 1533-position model. The record is from RNAcentral.
UACGUAGGGUGCGAGCGUUGUCCGGAAUUAUUGGGCGUAAAGAGCUCGUAGGUGGUUUGUCGCGUUGUUCGUGAAAACUCACAACUCAAUUGUGGGCGUGCGGGCGAUACGGGCAGACUGGAGUACUGCAGGGGAGACUGGAAUUCCUGGUGUAGCGGUGGAAUGCGCAGAUAUCAGGAGGAACACCGGUGGCGAAGGCGGGUCUCUGGGCAGUAACUGACGCUGAGGAGCGAAAGCCAGGGGAGCAAACGGG